This is a long non-coding RNA of Apis dorsata (giant honeybee), 4741 nucleotides long. RefSeq lists it as uncharacterized. The transcript is spliced from 10 exons. Lineage: Eukaryota; Metazoa; Arthropoda; Insecta; Hymenoptera; Apidae. The record is from RefSeq and is a predicted model, not a curated record.
AAUUCAUUUUAUUUCAACAAACAAAAAUUGGUUGCAUCGGAACGGAAACUUUAAUGAGGCUCGCGUGGCAUAAAACGUAAACUUAUCGUGGAAAUCUUUCUCGCUGGGGGAAGGAGAGAAAUCAAACACUUUGAAAGGCGUUUAAAAAAUGUAAAACACUUUUUGAUAAAAGUUCUUAAGGAUCUGCCAUCCCUCCCUUAUCCCGCGGUCCGCCCAAAUAAAUUUCGUUGUACUACACAAAUAUUUCACGUGGCGCCCCGCCAUUUAAAGUUAGUUCGAGAAACUGCUUAGCAUCUACUUAUUCACUAGAUUUUUCAACAUGAACAUCGGAGCUACGAGUUAUCCAGCCGGUCCGCGCUUCCAGACAGACGUAUAGAUCGCGACCCAUAAAUAACAAGGAAGGGAAGGGCCCUCGUCUUUAAUACGAUCCCCGUUUCCCGAACUCAUAACCGUUGAUCUUCCGCUGGAAAUUCACGAGGAAACGCGACAAAGGUUCACGGCGCAAGAUGCACACGAUGUAACAUUCAACAAACGCCGGUAGACAAUGUUCCAAACUAUACAACAUACAUUUUGACAAGUUCCAGUUUCGCUUCGCAAGCAGCCGGAAAUUGAACACCGGCUGUGUUUCCUGUAUCCACGGCGGCGAGCCAGAUUCCGCGAUGGUAGUUUUACCGCGCUUUCAAGACAAACCCUGAGACGAUGAAACGGAUUUACACGAUAAAAUUAUCAUGUAAAAAGAAAAUAAGAUCGUCCGAAUUGAAAAAUCCAUGCUGUAUCUAUAUCGAAUAUAUACAUGUUUGAACAUCUUUGGAGGAAUUCUAGAAGUUGAUUGAAGAGGAGUUACACAGUAUCGACGUCAGCGACAAUGCUAGGCCGAAAGUUCUAGCGGGCGAUGUCGGCAAAUUGGUGAAAGGGUUGGCUUCAAACUGAAAUUGAGAGGGGUUGGACGUCGCCGGUACCCAACAUCAGAAGGGCAGAGGCGGGAUACGACGCUUCUGGGCUGUCGUGAACCCUGGCUGGAGCCACCGGUGUACUUGGCAGAGAGUGCUUUUCAUCUCCGUAAAUGGACCGGCGGAGAAGAAAUCCAGCGAAACGAAGUGCCUGGGGACAGUUGACGAAUUUAUCGAUUCGCAUACAGGGCAAAAAUUGCACGCGUGCACACGAGAGAUUUGAAACAGAUUCUAUCGAUUUCAGGAACAGGCAAUUCAUACCUUCAGGCCUUAGAUCGCGAAAGGAUCGAUCAGAUAGACGCAUAACGAACCAUUUAUCAUAGAGUGAAAUUGUUACGUCGACGGAUCUCGAUUCUCAUCGAAGCAAAGAAAAAGACGGCUAAACACGGAGAGACAGAGAGAGUAACUUUCCUCCGCACGCUUUGCGGAGAAAGAAGAAGGGGGUUGUGCCGCUUUUGUCGUGCUGCACAGACGCGUGGAAAAGAAGAGGCCGAUGGGCAGCCUCUUUAAAGAGUAAUUACGCUUACACUCGAUGUAUCCUGCGCCCCGUGAUAUUCUUCAUCGUUUUUUUCAGGAAAUCACCUAUUUCAAGGAUGCGCUGGAGACGUGUGUGAGAGAGAGAGAGAAAGAGAGAAAGAGAGAGAGAUGGGCGCGCAAGCUCAAAUCCUACAUUCCUCAAGGCGAAGCUAGAGCGAAACGGACGAGUACAGAAUCCAUUUAGAUAAGUAAACGACUUUGUUAAUUAGAUUUGUCGAAAGUAAAGCGGAGGUGGGAGUGAGCACAGCUGGGGAAGGUGAAAUAAUCCCCGGCACACUGAGCGGAAGAGUUGAAUCGGCGGGAGGCCGACAAAGAAGCUGCAUGCUGCACUUUGACAAAGAUUUGCAGGAGAGGAGGGAGGUGAGGGCGUAAAGGACGGAAAUGGGGCAGGUGAGGGUGCGGGGCAAGGGGGCGAAGGGCAAACGAGAGAGAAAAUUGGGGUGUGCGAAAGCGAGUAAAAGUUUCUCGCGAUAAUUGUCCGACUUUAAAGCGUCUCGUGAUGCUAAAUAACGUGCUCGAAUCUUGCCUUGUUCUCCUUACUAUAUCGCUCUAUUCUCCUCUGGAUCCCGAUUUCUUUUCCUCGCGAAAGGAAGAAAAAGAUCCUUGACAAUGUGGAUGAUGAAUAAAUUUCGUUUUAACGUUAAUUUAAAAUUACACGGUGACGAGAUAUUUUAUAUUUAUCGCGUUAUUUAUGUAUUUUCGUGAAAAAGUAAUCGGAUAAUAGUAAUAUUAAAUAUAAUGUUUAUGGGAAAAGAGAUUUGGAAGAUAAAAUUGUAACGUUAGAUAUUUUAUAUAUAUUUUUUUUUAAUAUUAAAUGGAUAAUGUUCGUUAAUAACGGAUCUUUGUUAAUAACGGAGAAAGAUAGUAUCGACAAAUAUUUUUUAUAGAAAAGGUUAAUAAGUGUCAUUUUGUAAUUACAUCGUUCGUUUGCUCUAACCCUUAAAGUAGUAAAUAAUCAGUGACUUAUGAAAGGUAGCGGUUAUUUAUUAUAAGCGUAAGAUCUUUGCAAUUUGGUAUUUUUUUUUCUUUUUUUCAUUAAAAGUAGUUAAUAAGUGUCAACUCUAUUUUAUAAUUAUAUCGUUCCUUUUUUUUUUUUUUAUUACCAAGUAAUCGUGUUGAACAAUUCACAAACGGUGAUAUUACAUUAUGGAGGACGUGUUUUCAUAAAAAUAUACGUAUUAUAAUGGAACAUAUUCGUGUUCACCCGGCAUAAAUUAUUUCCAGUGUGUGAUUAUCAAUAGCGCAAUGAAAUUUUCUUUCGUCCCUUAAACGAAACACGGCCAUUUCUCGCACGUAAUCGGCGAGGCAUGCAAGCGUUCGCCGAAACGCGAUAGCAAUUAAAGUGUUAAUUACUCUGACGAAGCUGAAUUGGCAGAAACUGGUGGGUGGUGAGAGGGUGGAAGGAAGUAAGACAAAGGGUUGCGACGCGUUUGGACAAAGAUUCAAAGAGAAAGAGAAAGGAAGGAGGUGGGGCAUGGCUAGGAAAGGGCGCAGGCGGUGAAACUUUUACGCGAUAAUUGUCUCGGUUGAAAAUACUUUUCGGUCGUUACCUUUCUUGCCACUUGCAGGAAGGCUUGACCCUUCCGUCUUUCAACGCGUCCUCCUCGCGAUGCACCCUUGCAUUUUUCCGCUUUAGGUAAUUCCGCUUUGUCUGUACCGAAAUGCGAUUAUCAACGAGCAUAAAAAUGCUUGACCAACGCGAAUACAGAGGCAUCUUAAUAAACACAUCUUAAUAAACAAUAACACCUCGAGGAUUAAAACCUCGAAUAUAAAUAUAAACUUCGUAUCUUUAUUUCAUCGAUCAACUUUCAUAUAAAUCAAAGAGAAAUUAGAGAAGCGAUUAAUUAAAGUCUUCUCCAAAAAGCUCGAUCGAGAUAAAUAUGUUGUAGAUACGUGUUGGUGAGGCAACAGCAAUCCAUAGACCACCUACGGCCUUACGCCGUAAUUUAGAGAGAAAGGAGAGACACAGAAUCUGUUAGCGUGGCACAACGAAACUUAGGAAGAAGGUUUCCGCGAAACUGUGGUCCGCAGGGGAGCCGCGCGAACAAAGAGUCGCGUCUCCUGAGCCGAAAGAAGGCUCGGCCUGCCGGUGUCCGACGAAAGGAAACGCUGUGCGCCGUAACCGACGGAUAACGAUCGUGGGGAUCGUGGAUCUAGUACCGAUUCAUGGUCUCUCUCUCUGUCUCUCAUUCUAUGCGAACAGAGCCAUAGGUAUGCCCGUUUACGCAUACAUUUGCCGGACGCGAGAUUCCAGCUCUGUGGAAGUAGCUGCCCCUGCAGUUAAGACCUCAGGGUAUCAGGUUUCCCCGAUUGUAUCAUCAAACGGUCCCUGCUCGGUUUCUUCGUCAUCUUGCGCGGCGAGGCAACCAGCUCGGUUAUUUCCAGCCUCCUCCUGCGCUCGCCCUCCCUUUCUCUCGUCCCUAUGAUUCCCUCCUCGCUCGUGGCCGGCGGCGGCGACGCCGGCGUCGCGCUUUCGAGAAACAAGCUUAAUCCGUAAGGACAUCUCUCGCGAUAGAGGGGUCAACGCCAGCUGCACGCCCUGGGUGACGGUUUGCUCGUUCCGCCGUCUGCUUAGACCGCUGAUCACUGCACAUGGCGAGAGUCGGCGUUGGAUGGCGUUGAUCGCUGAUUACGCUAUUGAUGAUGAAUGGCGUCGUGGUUGAGACGGUAAUUCGCUACGAAGCGAAUUGUUACGCGUGUCGUCCUCGUCUUUUUCUUGUUUCGCGCGAGGAGUGAGGAAGCUUAACGCAUAAUAAUUUUUCUUUUUUUUUUUUUCUUUUUUUAAGGAGACAACGAGUAUAGCUUUGCGACUUAAGCGGUGAUGGCCUAACGGUGUUCUUACGCCCUUUCUUUCUACGAACUGGCUCGAUUUACGCGUAUUAAAUAUAGAGGCUUUUAAAAGAGAAUCCCGCCACGAGAGGGAAAGAAGGGGAAGAAGGGGAGAGGAGAGUGGAAGGACGCGCACGCAAUCCGAGACAAUAUCCCGUUUUGGCUAAGAGGAUCGCCAUCUCGGCAGUGGCAGUUUUAAUAAAUUUCGCCGAUUUCCAAGCGGCGAAAUCUACGCUCACCGCAAUGCAACGUCGUGGAUUGCGACUAUCUACGAGUAAACGGACAGAAUACCCGUACUUUCGGUUUAUUAUACUUCGUUACCACCUCACGAUUUUGUAAAACGUUUUAAUAUCAUCGAUGUUCUAUAUGUUUGUAACAAACUUUUAUGUUUCAAAAAAUAAAUAAAAAUUUAAAAAAUUUAAAAA